Molecule: ribosomal RNA, 325 nt
Filed under: uncultured eukaryote
Lineage: Eukaryota
Description: partial 18S ribosomal RNA
Rfam family: Eukaryotic small subunit ribosomal RNA
Source: RNAcentral
CCCUUAGAUGUUCUGGGCCGCACGCGCGCUACACUGAUGCAUUCAACGAGCCUAUCCUUGACCGACAGGUCCGGGUAAUCUUUGAAUCUGCAUCGUGACGGGGAUAGAUUAUUGCAAUUAUUAAUCUUCAACGAGGAAUGCCUAGUAGGCGCAAGUCAUCAGCUUGCGUCGAUUACGUCCCUGCCCUUUGUACACACCGCCCGUCGCUACUACCGAUUGGGUGUGCUGGUGAAAUGUUCGGAUCGGCCGUUUGUCGCGGUUUCCGCGUCAUGUGGCUGAGAAGUUCAUUAAACCCUCCCACCUAGAGGAAGGAGAAGUCGUAACA